RNAcentral lists this ribosomal RNA (454 nucleotides) under uncultured Synechococcus sp. Its description in RNAcentral is "bacterial SSU rRNA". It matches the Rfam family "Bacterial small subunit ribosomal RNA", at positions 8 to 508 of the family's 1533-position model. Lineage: Bacteria; Bacillati; Cyanobacteriota; Cyanophyceae; Synechococcales; Synechococcaceae. The record is from RNAcentral.
AGGCUUUGAUCCUGGCUCAGGAUGAACGCUGGCGGCGUGCUUAACACAUGCAAGUCGAACGAACCUUCGGGUUAGUGGCGGACGGGUGAGUAACGCGUGAGAAUCUGCCCUCAGGAGGGGGAUAACGGCUGGAAACGGCCGCUAAUACCCCAUAUGCCGAGAGGUGAAACGAGUUUUCGCCUGAGGAUGAGCUCGCGUCUGAUUAGCUAGUUGGUGGGGUAAGAGCUUACCAAGGCAUCGAUCAGUAGCUGGUCUGAGAGGAUGAUCAGCCACACUGGGACUGAGACACGGCCCAGACUCCUACGGGAGGCAGCAGUGGGGAAUUUUCCGCAAUGGGCGAAAGCCUGACGGAGCAACGCCGCGUGAGGGACGAAGGCCUCUGGGCUGUAAACCUCUUUUCUCAAGGAAGAAGAUCUGACGGUACUUGAGGAAUAAGCCACGGCUAUAUCCGUGC